RNAcentral lists this unclassified non-coding RNA (1532 nucleotides) under Hevea brasiliensis (rubber tree). The record is from RNAcentral. Lineage: Eukaryota; Viridiplantae; Streptophyta; Magnoliopsida; Malpighiales; Euphorbiaceae.
AGUUAUAGCAAGUCCACGCAAGCUCUUCAGCGAGUGAUAGCAUUUUUGAAGCUUCUCCAGUGUCAUAACCAAAAGAACCUAAUGCCAACAUGCCAGGGGAAAAACAAGCCAAUUCAUCCAUCUUGUCAGACAUCUGAUUUCCAUUCUUCUCACGUAUGUAUGCGAAGGAUGAUGGUGUUGUCCUAUGAACCAAGCUUUGAAAACCUUUCAUUGAUGUCUCCCACAUUUCUCUGUAAAGUUUUACAGCUUCUGUUUUGUUCCCUUGCAUCCAAACCUUGAGUAAAUACUCAUAGAAGCUAUCACCCAUGGCACCAAAUGUGAUCACUGAGUAUGAAGACAUUCCAGUGUGAGGAUUAAUAUAUAUGGGAAGCAAACCAUCAGCAGGAAAGUUUUUGUGAAGCUCUUUGAUAACAUUCUCCACCCUCUGCUGGUACUUGGGGUCUUUUGUCCUUUGAGAUAAGGCGAUAAAUUCCAGCUGCUCUGUUGCAGAAUCUGCCAGGAUACUACUUCCCCCUGUCCACCUAGGGUUGUGCGGAUUCCCAUGCGCUAAGUUGAUUGUGUUAUAAGGAAUUCCUGAAGGUGUAUUCCAUGCAGGCAGCAGCCUAUCUGCAAUAUCUCUAGCCUUUUCAAGAAAAAUUUUGUCACCAGAGAGGUCGUACGCACUAAGAAGCCCUCCUACAACUCUUAUGGUUGUCUCAAAGACACUAGCCUCGUAAUUUUUGUUGAAGUCCAACGAGUUUGCAACCCACUCUCUAGCUCUUUGAAACUCUUCAUGAAGACCCAUUAUGAAUAAUGUAUCAAGAGAGUCUAUCAAAGUUGCACCAAGACCACCAAAGCUAUCAAUACCAUUCCGUGUUUGUGGCUGGAGUUCAUCAUGACCCCAUGCGUACUUCUCAUAGCAAGUCCAAGCAUGAAGCAUAGCCUCUUUCACUUUCUCUCUUCGUUCAAAACUAAUAGGAUCAUCCUCCUCCAUUUUCCGCUUCUUAUCAUUAAUGGGAAACUCUAUCCCUGAACCUUUGAGUUGCGUCCUUAAAUCCUCAAGCUGACUGCGUAAUUCUGCCAAUUCUUCAUUCAACAUCGAAACCUCCACCUGAAAUUUCAAGAGAAGGUAGAAAAAAGUGAAUUUAAGCUCAAAUUAAUCCCGACAAAAGUGGGAAAAUCAGAAACCUGGUGGUCUCGUGCAAGAGAUUGGCGGUCCAAAAGGAAGCAAGUAAGAGAAACGAAUCCAACGAUAAGAAGAACAAGUCGAUUGGAGCGAAUCCAACCAUUCUUGUUCUUAGAGCUCGAUAGAAGAACAGAGGAAGAGGAAGAAGAGGAUUUCUUUCCCAUAGAUUUCAAUUUUCCUUCUUUUCUGAUACAAUUGAAGAAGAGAAAAUUAUGAAAUUAAUAGAAAGAAAAGUCGACGCUGGUCAACUCAAUACAAGUUACAACCACUAGUAGGAAUUGGAACACGUCAAUUCGUUGGAAAGUACGCCAUCUGGAAUUAUAUUUUCUGACUUUCCAAACACGUCAUUAGAGUCUGACAAACAAUC